UGGGUCGUCGUUUGAGACUGU
Molecule: non-coding RNA, 21 nt
Organism: Caenorhabditis elegans
Lineage: Eukaryota; Metazoa; Nematoda; Chromadorea; Rhabditida; Rhabditidae
Source: Ensembl